GGGGUUGGGGAUUUAGCUCAGUGGUAGAGCACUUGCCUAGCAAGCGCAAGGCCCUGGGUUCGGUCCCCAGCUC
RNAcentral lists this non-coding RNA (73 nucleotides) under Rattus norvegicus (Norway rat). Lineage: Eukaryota; Metazoa; Chordata; Mammalia; Rodentia; Muridae. The record is from RNAcentral.